This is a long non-coding RNA of Entelurus aequoreus (snake pipefish), 458 nucleotides long. RefSeq lists it as uncharacterized. The transcript has 3 exons. NCBI's taxonomy places the organism in Eukaryota, Metazoa, Chordata, Actinopteri, Syngnathiformes, Syngnathidae. The record is from RefSeq and is a predicted model, not a curated record.
GCAGUAGGAGGGACAAGGAGACAAUGGUUCCACAUCGACAAAACAUCGAACAACCCUUCAGAGGGCUUGUGGGAAGAAUCUAAAGUGAUUGCUUUUUUACAAUCACAAUUUGAUGUUUCUUUUACGCCUCUGGCGCGUUGGACGCCUUUAACGGGUCUCCCGCCAAAAAGUGUCGAGGAGGUUGACAUUGAAGAACUGGUUGCAAAAGAGGAUGAAGACGAGGAAGCUUUUUUACUACAAAAGAGUGCCAUCAUUGAAGAAUUGUGCCGGGACAACAUUGUCGAAAAAGACGCCGAAUGUCCCGCCAUUGAAGAGCUACUCACCAAUGACGUUCCAGCGGAGGCUGAAGGCUUGCUCGCGGUGAAAGAAGAGGGGUUUUUCCCACAAAAUACUCUCCACACCGAAGACUUGCUCGAGGACAACAUUAUCGAAAAAGACGACAAAAGUCCUACACCUAU